RNAcentral lists this transfer RNA (72 nucleotides) under Triticum aestivum (bread wheat). It matches the Rfam family "tRNA". Rfam says of the family: Transfer RNA (tRNA) molecules are approximately 80 nucleotides in length. Their secondary structure includes four short double-helical elements and three loops (D, anti-codon, and T loops). RNAcentral also lists the same sequence under 1 other name. The record is from Rfam by way of RNAcentral. Lineage: Eukaryota; Viridiplantae; Streptophyta; Magnoliopsida; Poales; Poaceae.
GUGGCUGUAGUUUAGCGGUGAGAAUUCCACGUUGUGGCCGUGGACAUCUGGGCUCGAAUCCUAGCAGCCACA